UACGAAGGGUGCAAGCGUUACUCGGAAUUACUGGGCGUAAAGCGUGCGUAGGUGGUUUGUUAAGUCUGAUGUGAAAGCCCUGGGCUCAACCUGGGAAUUGCAUUGGAUACUGGCAGGCUAGAGUGCGGUAGAGGGUAGUGGAAUUCCCGGUGUAGCAGUGAAAUGCGUAGAGAUCGGGAGGAACACCAGUGGCGAAGGCGGUUAGCUGGGCAGUUGCUGACACUGAGGCGCGACAGCGUGGGGAGCAAACAGG
This 253-nucleotide ribosomal RNA is filed under the name uncultured bacterium. RNAcentral describes it as "partial 16S ribosomal RNA". It matches the Rfam family "Bacterial small subunit ribosomal RNA", at positions 524 to 776 of the family's 1533-position model. The record is from RNAcentral.